CCAAUAGCGUAUAUUAAAGUUGUUGCAGUUAAAAAGCUCGUAGUUGAAUUUCGGGACUAAUAUGUCGGUCGUGCCUCGGUACGUACUGGUAUUUUUGGUUUCUCCCUUCUGACGAACCUUGAUGUCAUUAAUUUGGUGUCUUGGGAAAUCAGGACUGUUACUUUGAAAAAAUUAGAGUGUUUAAAGCAGGUUACCGCUUGAAUACAUUAGCAUGGAAUAAUGAAAUAGGACGUUUGAUUCUAUUUUGUUGGUUUCUAGAAUCGACGUAAUGAUUAAUAGGGAUAGUUGGGGGAAUUAGUAUUCAAUUGUCAGAGGUGAAAUUCUUGGAUUUAUUGAAGACUAACUACUGCGAAAGCAUUUGCCAAGGAUGUUUUCAUUAAUCAAGAACGAAAGUUAGGGGAUCGAAGACGAUCAGAUACCGUCGUAGUCUUAACCAUAAACUAUGCCGACUAGGGAUCGGAUGAUGUUAAUUUUUUAAUGACUCAUUCGGCGCCUUACG
RNAcentral lists this unclassified non-coding RNA (499 nucleotides) under uncultured Glomus. Its description in RNAcentral is "SSU rRNA". It matches the Rfam family "Eukaryotic small subunit ribosomal RNA", at positions 591 to 1092 of the family's 1831-position model. Lineage: Eukaryota; Fungi; Glomeromycota; Glomeromycetes; Glomerales; Glomeraceae. The record is from RNAcentral.